RNAcentral lists this ribosomal RNA (241 nucleotides) under Bacillus sp. 113b_11T. RNAcentral's name for it is "partial 16S ribosomal RNA". It matches the Rfam family "Bacterial small subunit ribosomal RNA", at positions 119 to 353 of the family's 1533-position model. Lineage: Bacteria; Bacillati; Bacillota; Bacilli; Caryophanales; Bacillaceae. The record is from RNAcentral.
GGGUAACCUGCCUGUAAGACUGGGAUAACUCCGGGAAACCGGGGCUAAUACCGGAUAACACCUACCCCCGCAUGGGGGAAGGUUGAAAGGUGGCUUCGGCUAUCACUUACAGAUGGACCCGCGGCGCAUUAGCUAGUUGGUGAGGUAAUGGCUCACCAAGGCGACGAUGCGUAGCCGACCUGAGAGGGUGAUCGGCCACACUGGGACUGAGACACGGCCCAGACUCCUACGGGAGGCAGCA